AUUGCUUCUCAGCCUUUUGGCUAAGAUCAAGUGUAGUAUCUGUUCUUAUCUGUUUCACAUCUGAUAUGUCCUGUAUCCGAGGACAAAAUAUCAAAUGGACUUUUGAAACUAGGAGAUGAAACAGGAGCUUGCUGUCUACUCCAUGCAUCACCUUGGUAUUGUAGUACUUCCAGGAAUGCACCAAGA
Small nuclear RNA from Pteronotus mesoamericanus, 186 nucleotides. RefSeq annotates it as U2 spliceosomal RNA. The record is from RefSeq and is a predicted model, not a curated record. NCBI's taxonomy places the organism in Eukaryota, Metazoa, Chordata, Mammalia, Chiroptera, Mormoopidae. The transcript has a single exon.